CCUACGGGAGGCAGCAGUGGGGAAUUUUGGACAAUGGGCGCAAGCCUGAUCCAGCAAUGCCGCGUGAGUGAAGAAGGCCUUCGGGUUGUAAAGCUCUUUUGUCAGGGAAGAAACGGUUGGGGCUAAUAUCCUCAGCUAAUGACGGUACCUGAAGAAUAAGCACCGGCUAACUACGUGCCAGCAGCCGCGGUAAUACGUAGGGUGCAAGCGUUAAUCGGAAUUACUGGGCGUAAAGCGUGCGCAGGCGGUUUUGUAAGUCUGUCGUGAAAGCCCCGGGCUUAACCUGGGAAUUGCGAUGGAGACUGCAAGGCUUGAAUCUGGCAGAGGGGGGUAGAAUUCCACGUGUAGCAGUGAAAUGCGUAGAGAUGUGGAGGAACACCGAUGGCGAAGGCAGCCCCCUGGGUCAAGAUUGACGCUCAUGCACGAAAGCGUGGGGAGCAAACAGGAUUAGAUACCCUGGUAGUCCACGCCCUAAACGAUGUCUACUAGUUGUCGGGUCUUAAUUGACUUGGUAACGCAGCUAACGCGUGAAGUAGACCGCCUGGGGAGUACGGUCGCAAGAUUAAAACUCAAAAUGAAAUUGACGG
Molecule: ribosomal RNA, 587 nt
Filed under: uncultured bacterium
Lineage: Bacteria
Description: bacterial SSU rRNA
Rfam family: Bacterial small subunit ribosomal RNA
Source: RNAcentral